Molecule: ribosomal RNA, 439 nt
Filed under: uncultured bacterium
Lineage: Bacteria
Description: partial 16S ribosomal RNA
Rfam family: Bacterial small subunit ribosomal RNA
Source: RNAcentral
CCUACGUGUAGCAGCAGUGGGGAAUAUUGCACAAUGGGGGAAACCCUGAUGCAGCGACGCCGCGUGAGUGAGGAAGUAUUUCGGUAUGCAAAGCUCUAUCAGCAGGGAAGAAAAUGACGGUACCUGACUAAGAAGCCCCGGCUAACUACGUGCCAGCAGCCGCGGUAAUACGGAGGAUGCGAGCGUUAUCCGGAUUUAGUGGGUGUAAAGGGUGCGUAGGCGGAAUGCCAAGUCAGCGGUAAAAUCGCGGGGCUCAACCUCGCUCCGCCGUUGAAACUGGCGUUCUUGAGUGGGCGAGAAGUAUGCGGAAUGCGUGGUGUAGCGGUGAAAUGCAUAGAUAUCACGCAGAACUCCGAGUGCGAAGGCAGCAUACUGGCGCCCAACUGACGCUGAAGCACGAAAGCGUGGGUAUCGAACAGGAUUAGAUACCCGGGUAGUC